Molecule: ribosomal RNA, 325 nt
Filed under: uncultured Chloroflexota bacterium
Lineage: Bacteria; Bacillati; Chloroflexota
Description: bacterial SSU rRNA
Rfam family: Bacterial small subunit ribosomal RNA
Source: RNAcentral
GAUGAACGUUGGCGGCGUGCCUAAUACAUGCAAGUCGCACGUGGAUCCAUUAGCAAUAAUGGUGAAAGUGGCGGACGGGUGAGUAACACAUGGCUGACCUGCCCUUCAGAGGGGGACAACCACUGGAAACGGUGGCUAAUACCCCGUACGCUCUUGGAGAUUAGAGGCUCUGAGAGGAAAGCCUACGGGUGCUGAAGGAGGGGGCUGUGGCCCAUCAGCUAGUUGGUAGGGUAAAGGCCUACCAAGGCGAGGACGGGUAGGGGGCCUGAGAGGGUGAUCAGCCACACUGGAACUGAGACACGGUCCAGACUCCUACGGGAGGCAG